Long non-coding RNA from Sapajus apella (tufted capuchin), 1476 nucleotides. RefSeq lists it as uncharacterized. The transcript has 2 exons. NCBI's taxonomy places the organism in Eukaryota, Metazoa, Chordata, Mammalia, Primates, Cebidae. The record is from RefSeq and is a predicted model, not a curated record.
CACUGCUCACAGCCGGCUGGGCUUUUGGGUGCUGAUGCAGGCGCAGUUUUAUGCCCCUGAUCAUAGGGGGAACCUGAUGCCUUGAAUAGAAAUGUAUUUGGUGGAUGGCAGUAAUGUCCCUCCCGUGACUGCUUAACCUCACUUCAUAAAAAAUUGACUAACAAAGCCAGGUUAAGAAAUCUCAUAAGGAGCACCAUGUUCACUUAAUUAGGUCCAGUAAUUUCGGGCUUUAUAAUCUUUGGAAAAUUAAUCAUUUUUGCCUGUUUUGAGAGUGCUUGUUAUUAUUCUUAGUCUCAUUUUAUUUUUUAAUCUUCAUUUGGUAAGAUGUUGUAUAUUUGACUAAAGCCAUAAUUUUUAGAAAAAAAAAAAAAGUAUAGUUAGUCAUAGAAAAUACGUCAGAGCAGAAGCACUGCCGAGGAGAGUGUCACUAUGAGUCCCGGCUUUCUGCCCACUCUGCUGUGUGCCUGAGAGCUUCCUGCCUCCCUCUUUUUCCUUUGUGUGUAGGCUGUGGUUCUGCUGAACGUUUUUCCUGUAUUCCCCAGAACUGUGCAGCUUUGUCGCCACACAUGUGGCCCAGGAUCGAAAAACAGUCACGUAUCCAGCUGUGGGGCUAAUGCUGCCGGCUGCUGCCCGGUUGCCCCUCAGGCUCAGAGGCUGCAGAAUGACUUGUCAGGCCCUGAAAUGCUGGGAUCACACUGCUGUUGAACGCGCAGAUGUCUUUGACUACCUAGUAGAGUGCUAGGACUUUUCUCUCCUUUCUGUCUGGUUUGCCCUUAUUGCUAUGUCUCAACCUCUGGAGAAAAGGGACUUCUAAUCUAUCACUAAGAAUUUUCUGGCCUUCACCUUCUAACACUGUACAGAAAUAUUGGUUAUAUUCCAUUUAAAAAAAUUUAAAUGACUUAUAUUUUAAAUUAUGAGUAAUAUAUAUCAGCCCUUUGAUGCUCAGCAGAGAAAAAGGAUCUGUUAAUUUUUUUUUAAGGUGGGGUUUUUAUACUAAAGGAAAACAGUCAGAAUUUGAAAUCCAAUAAUAAUUUUAAAAAGCAGGAAACUAAAUGUGGAAUGACCCGUAGAUGAAUUAAUAAGAUAGCACAGGAAAGACAAUGGCAAUAUUACUGUUUAUUCAAUCCAGAUCUGAAAAUCCAAAGCCUUACACCAGGAGUCAGCAAACUGUAGUCUGAGGGCCAAAUCUGGCUUGCCACCUAUUUUGUAAAUAAAGUUUUAUUGGAGCACACCCAUACCCAUUUAUUUAUAUAUUGUCUUUGGCUACAUUUGUGUCAUAAUGGUAGAGUUGAGUAGUUUCAACAGAAACUUGUGGCUUUAUAAAGCCUAAAACAUUUACUAUCUGGCACUUUGCAGAGGAAGUUUUCCAGGCCCUGCCUUACCUCAGCCAUUGGCCAAUGCUACUCUACCUCUUCCUCUACCAGCAGCAAUACCAGUACCAGUGGCACUUUGCCAUCCACAUAUUCUCUUAUUCCA